Molecule: ribosomal RNA, 356 nt
Filed under: uncultured bacterium
Lineage: Bacteria
Description: bacterial SSU rRNA
Rfam family: Bacterial small subunit ribosomal RNA
Source: RNAcentral
AGAGUUUGAUCCUGGCUCAGGAUGAACGCUAGCUACAGGCUUAACACAUGCAAGUCGAGGGGCAGCAUGGUCUUAGCUUGCUAAGGCCGAUGGCGACCGGCGCACGGGUGAGUAACACGUAUCCAACCUGCCGUCUACUCUUGGACAGCCUUCUAGAAAGGAAGAUUAAUACAAGAUGGCAUCAUGAGUCCGCAUGUUCACAUGAUUAAAGGUAUUCCGGUAGACGGAUGGGGUUGCGUUCCAUUAGAUAGUAGGCGGGGUAACGGCCCACCUAGUCUUCGAUGGAUAGGGGUUCUGAGAGGAAGGUCCCCCACAUUGGAACUGAGACACGGUCCAAACUCCUACGGGAGGCAGCA